RNAcentral lists this ribosomal RNA (259 nucleotides) under uncultured bacterium. RNAcentral describes it as "partial 16S ribosomal RNA". It matches the Rfam family "Bacterial small subunit ribosomal RNA", at positions 333 to 609 of the family's 1533-position model. The record is from RNAcentral.
CGUAACCUACGGGGCGCAGCAGUGGGGAAUAUUGCACAAUGGGGGAAACCCUGAUGCAGCGACGCCGCGUGAGUGAAGAAGUACCCCGGUACGUAAAUCUCUAUCAGCAGGGAAGAAAAUGACGGUACCUGACCAAGAAGCCCCGGCUAACUACGUGCCAGCAGCCGCGCUAAUACGUAGGGGGCAAGCGUUAUCCGGAUUUACUGGGUGUAAAGGGAGCGUAGACGGCAGCGCAAGUCUGGAGUGAAAUCCUGGGGCU